GGUUGGCCGGGUCACCGGACACAAUUUUUAAUCUAGAUACCCUAAUAAUGAUUGUGGCCAAGUUUGGUAAAAAUUGGCCCAGUAGUUUCAGAGGAGAAGAUUUUUGUAAAAGCUAACGACGACGACGACGACGACGACGACGACGACGACGACGACGACGGACGACGGACGACGGACGACGGACGCCAGACGCCGGACGCCAAGUGAUGAGAAAAGCUCACUUGGCCCUUUGGGCCAG
Molecule: long non-coding RNA, 238 nt
Filed under: Mytilus galloprovincialis (Mediterranean mussel)
Lineage: Eukaryota; Metazoa; Mollusca; Bivalvia; Mytilida; Mytilidae
Source: RNAcentral